Molecule: ribosomal RNA, 2992 nt
Filed under: Salmonella enterica subsp. enterica
Lineage: Bacteria; Pseudomonadati; Pseudomonadota; Gammaproteobacteria; Enterobacterales; Enterobacteriaceae
Description: 23S ribosomal RNA
Rfam family: Bacterial large subunit ribosomal RNA
Source: RNAcentral
GGUUAAGCGACUAAGCGUACACGGUGGAUGCCCUGGCAGUCAGAGGCGAUGAAGGACGUGCUAAUCUGCGAUAAGCGCCGGUAAGGUGAUAUGAACCGUUAUAACCGGCGAUUUCCGAAUGGGGAAACCCAGUGUGACUCGUCACACUAUCAUUAACUGAAUCCAUAGGUUAAUGAGGCGAACCGGGGGAACUGAAACAUCUAAGUACCCCGAGGAAAAGAAAUCAACCGAGAUUCCCCCAGUAGCGGCGAGCGAACGGGGAGGAGCCCAGAGCCUGAAUCAGCAUGUGUGUUAGUGGAAGCGUCUGGAAAGGCGCGCGAUACAGGGUGACAGCCCCGUACACAAAAGCGCAUGUGCUGUGAGCUCGAUGAGUAGGGCGGGACACGUGGUAUCCUGUCUGAAUAUGGGGGGACCAUCCUCCAAGGCUAAAUACUCCUGACUGACCGAUAGUGAACCAGUACCGUGAGGGAAAGGCGAAAAGAACCCCGGCGAGGGGAGUGAAAAAGAACCUGAAACCGUGUACGUACAAGCAGUGGGAGCACAGGUUUACCUGUGUGACUGCGUACCUUUUGUAUAAUGGGUCAGCGACUUAUAUUCUGUAGCAAGGUUAACCGAAUAGGGGAGCCGGAGGGAAACCGAGUCUUAAUUGGGCGUUAAGUUGCAGGGUAUAGACCCGAAACCCGGUGAUCUAGCCAUGGGCAGGUUGAAGGUUGGGUAACACUAACUGGAGGACCGAACCGACUAAUGUUGAAAAAUUAGCGGAUGACCUGUGGCUGGGGGUGAAAGGCCAAUCAAACCGGGAGAUAGCUGGUUCUCCCCGAAAGCUAUUUAGGUAGCGCCUCGUGAAUUCAUCUCCGGGGGUAGAGCACUGUUUCGGCUAGGGGGCCAUCCCGGCUUACCAACCCGAUGCAAACUGCGAAUACCGGAGAAUGUUAUCACGGGAGACACACGGCGGGUGCUAACGUCCGUCGUGAAGAGGGAAACAACCCAGACCGCCAGCUAAGGUCCCAAAGUCAUGGUUAAGUGGGAAACGAUGUGGGAAGGCCCAGACAGCCAGGAUGUUGGCUUAGAAGCAGCCAUCAUUUAAAGAAAGCGUAAUAGCUCACUGGUCGAGUCGGCCUGCGCGGAAGAUGUAACGGGGCUAAACCAUGCACCGAAGCUGCGGCAGCGAACGUAUCACCCAAGACAACUUUGCGGAGUUGACGAUUGACGGAGCGAAGCGACGUCAAAGCGUUCAUUAAAGUCGAGUUGGCUUAGGGAUACGUUCGUUGGGUAGGGGAGCGUUCUGUAAGCCUGUGAAGGUGGCCUGUGAGGGUUGCUGGAGGUAUCAGAAGUGCGAAUGCUGACAUAAGUAACGAUAAAGCGGGUGAAAAGCCCGCUCGCCGGAAGACCAAGGGUUCCUGUCCAACGUUAAUCGGGGCAGGGUGAGUCGACCCCUAAGGCGAGGCCGAAAGGCGUAGUCGAUGGGAAACGGGUUAAUAUUCCCGUACUUGGUGUUACUGCGAAGGGGGGACGGAGAAGGCUAUGUUGGCCGGGCGACGGUUGUCCCGGUUUAAGCGUGUAGGUGUGUGUUCCAGGUAAAUCCGGUUCACUUUAACACUGAGGCGUGAUGACGAGGCACUACGGUGCUGAAGCAACAAAUGCCCUGCUUCCAGGAAAAGCCUCUAAGCAUCAGGUAACAUCAAAUCGUACCCCAAACCGACACAGGUGGUCAGGUAGAGAAUACCAAGGCGCUUGAGAGAACUCGGGUGAAGGAACUAGGCAAAAUGGUGCCGUAACUUCGGGAGAAGGCACGCUGACACGUAGGUGAAGUGAUUUACUCAUGGAGCUGAAGUCAGUCGAAGAUACCAGCUGGCUGCAACUGUUUAUUAAAAACACAGCACUGUGCAAACACGAAAGUGGACGUAUACGGUGUGACGCCUGCCCGGUGCCGGAAGGUUAAUUGAUGGGGUCAGCGCAAGCGAAGCUCCUGAUCGAAGCCCCGGUAAACGGCGGCCGUAACUAUAACGGUCCUAAGGUAGCGAAAUUCCUUGUCGGGUAAGUUCCGACCUGCACGAAUGGCGUAAUGAUGGCCAGGCUGUCUCCACCCGAGACUCAGUGAAAUUGAACUCGCUGUGAAGAUGCAGUGUACCCGCGGCAAGACGGAAAGACCCCGUGAACCUUUACUAUAGCUUGACACUGAACAUUGAGCCUUGAUGUGUAGGAUAGGUGGGAGGCUUUGAAGCGUGGACGCCAGUCUGCGUGGAGCCGACCUUGAAAUACCACCCUUUAAUGUUUGAUGUUCUAACGUGGACCCGUAAUCCGGGUUGCGGACAGUGUCUGGUGGGUAGUUUGACUGGGGCGGUCUCCUCCUAAAGAGUAACGGAGGAGCACGAAGGUUGGCUAAUCCUGGUCGGACAUCAGGAGGUUAGUGCAAUGGCAUAAGCCAGCUUGACUGCGAGCGUGACGGCGCGAGCAGGUGCGAAAGCAGGUCAUAGUGAUCCGGUGGUUCUGAAUGGAAGGGCCAUCGCUCAACGGAUAAAAGGUACUCCGGGGAUAACAGGCUGAUACCGCCCAAGAGUUCAUAUCGACGGCGGUGUUUGGCACCUCGAUGUCGGCUCAUCACAUCCUGGGGCUGAAGUAGGUCCCAAGGGUAUGGCUGUUCGCCAUUUAAAGUGGUACGCGAGCUGGGUUUAGAACGUCGUGAGACAGUUCGGUCCCUAUCUGCCGUGGGCGCUGGAGAACUGAGGGGGGCUGCUCCUAGUACGAGAGGACCGGAGUGGACGCAUCACUGGUGUUCGGGUUGUCAUGCCAAUGGCACUGCCCGGUAGCUAAAUGCGGAAGAGAUAAGUGCUGAAAGCAUCUAAGCACGAAACUUGCCCCGAGAUGAGUUCUCCCUGAGACUUUAGGUCUCCUGAAGGAACGUUGAAGACGACGACGUUGAUAGGCCGGGUGUGUAAGCGCAGCGAUGCGUUGAGCUAACCGGUACUAAUGAACCGUGAGGCUUAACCUU